GCGCCCAUGGGGCCGACCUUGUUGGAUGAAGCUCCUCUUCUCCCUCGCCUGCUUCUCUGUGAACUGUAUAUGCUGGAACAAAGCGUUCAGGUUCAUUCCUGGCUUCUCCCGGGGCUCUGUGGGCUGAGCUCUUGGUGAGGGCUCCGGGAGGGUCCCCACAGCGCUGCCCUCAGGCCUCACCUUCAGCCUCGGCCUCCCUGGGCUGAUCUCUUUCCCCUUCUUGCUCUAAGAAAGAAAACGUGGGUUCUGAUGAAAUUUAAAACCCUGAAACUAGCACAUUAUGUUGCAAAAAAUGCAAUUUUUUUUUUUAAAUGGCACAAAGUGCAACUAAGGGGAAAGAGACCCCAGAUCACAGAGGUCUGGGGACACGGCUGAGGGGACACAGGGACAGAGACGGAGGAAAACUGUGACACAAACAUCAGUUUGAAAGCCUUAGUUUCCUGAUAUCAACUAAGUCCUGCCUCUGCUGGCAGAAAGUCACUUACCUUCAUGUGAUUUUACUUGUGUGCUGUACCAGUGACCCAGAUCACCUCAGAUGGAAGAGCAAAGCACUUGGCCACCUCCCUGUCAAGGAAACCUGAGCAGGGCUGAAUUUUAAGUCCACCCACAAGAUGGAAAGCAAACUCUGCUAUGUCUAACUCGAAGAGUCAGCACAGUAUUUCACUGCUCGUUGUAAUUACAAGAUACUGGGUUCCUCUGCAAAAGUGUUGGAUUGACACCUUGAAAUAGGGCAGGUGUCAGGGCAGAUUUGGUCCCACAAUUUGGAAGAAGAUAUGUACAGUGGCUUGAUAGUGUAUCAGCACAACCUCUGGUGAGGACAGGGACACAAGAGUUUAGGAGAAACUUGCUGGCCAGGAAGAGCUGUGGGAAUUCACUACCAAGUCUGAUUAAAGCCCAGGGAGAGGGGGUGGGGGAUGGCAGAUGUGAAACUCUGACUUUCUUUUCUUAUACUUUCCCAUCAAUUAAGUCACUUAGUAAUCUGGAUUGCACCUCCACGUGUUUUUUAUUUGAUUGCUGUGUGAAUGCUCAUUGCUUACUUUGCCUUUGUUUUAUGGGGUUUUUUUCUGAUACUUACUGAAAGCUCUAAACCCAAAUAAAUGACAGGUUCAGUAAAAACUCAAUCUUGCUUUUGUGCUGCAAAAGCCCAUUCAAGGUUUCAUAAGCCCCUCAAAAUUGAUUUCUGGAGCGCUGUUAUUUAAUCUGCCCUUUACAAAACUUUAAUGCCUUGAGCAAAUCCUUCUUGCCUUAUUCCCACCAAAAGGCACUUUGACUUCAUGGUAAGCAGAUAAAUGUAAGACAAAAAAUGCAGUUCAGACUGUUCCCCCAGUCCCUAGUAAUUCUCUAACUUCUCUAUUCUCCCUUUCUCAUUAUUGAAGAAAGCCUCCUGUGUAAACACUACUUUUUGUGCUCCCAUGGCACACAGACUUUUUCCCAUCACUAGUUUGCUCUCCCUCACCUGCUAGAUCUGACUCAUUCGUCAACUUUAGCUUUGCUUCACCUCUUCACUCCCCUAAGAAUUGUAUUUAAAGUUCAUGGCACUGCUCUUAUUCUCAGCAUACUUUCUCUUCACAUACCUAGCGGCACUGCAGAUAAUACUGUGUAAUGUUCCCUGGGCUCAGUGGCUCCAACUUCAAUAUUUUCUUGCAAGGUUCACUCUUUAAAAGGAGGUCUGUGGCAGAGAUGGCAAAGGAAAUCUGCAGGCUAACCCUGGGCCAGGCAAUGGAUUAAUUCAGCCUCCUUGUCAGCUCAGGGGUACAUUGUCAUCCGAGCUGCUGCCAGCCAGAACAACCCAACACAGUGCUCCAACACUGCAGCCUUUGCAAGUGGAACUGGCUUCCACAUCCACCACAUCCACUGCCUUGGAGGGAGGCACCUCUGCGUGUGACACCUCUGAAGAGUUUGCUGUCAUUACUUCACAUGCAGAGGAGGAGGCAGAAGGGCACCAGCAGGACUGAAUGCAGCAAAGUUCUGAUUUAGCUGUGCAUGCCUGGCCACCAGGAGCAGAUGGCCUGGAUGGACACAGGCUGCUCUUGCUUGGUGCUGUUGCUGCAUUCAGAACAUUUGGGCCCAGUAUUUGUCACCAGGCAAGGUGACAGGAAGCUUAAAACACUUACUUCAAUCUACUUGGAAAGAAAAGGGUUUGAAGCACUAAUUUUACUGAAGUUUUAGUGUCAAAUAACCGCACUACCCACAUUACUUUGUCUUUUCUCUGUGAAAAGUUUCCAAUGAAAGAAAACCAACUACUGUAAACCAGCUUCCAAGUAAAAAGAAACCAGUAACUACAGCUACAUGAAGACUGAAGUACUAGCAGUUAAUGCUGGCAGCAAGUACCUUGGAGUAUUUGGUUCUGCCUUCCACAUUAUUUAUACUGUAAUGGCCUUUAAACAAUAAUCCAGGGUGAUUGUAUUGUCAUCCUUCCUAUAAUGAAGUUUGUUGUUACCAGCUGCACCCUAUGUAUGUUAUGUUAUGUUAAUUGUUCUGAAACUUUUAUAAAAAACCUGACCAGCAGAAUAUUUUAAAAAGCUUAAAUAUCUUUAAAAUAUUUGCAUGAAGUACUUCUGUGUGGCUUACACUUUUACUUUUAUCUGAAGAGAUUCAUGAGUUGAAUGAUUGACAGAUACAAAUUGUAAGGCAGACCUUGGUUUGACUGAAAUCAACAGCAAAACAUUCAAUGACUUAAUUUUACCCCAGGGCAAGUAAAAGGCAGUUGGAAAACACUGUGCAAAGACCCAAAGGAUUAUGACUCCAGCCACAAAGUGGUUUAUGGGGUUUUGUCUGCAACAGAAAUUUAUAAAUAAUUCCAUAUAUGAAAGAGAAAAUGAAAAAAGCCCUAAUUUCUGCUGUGGAAAAAUGUCCUUGUGGUUUGUAAGGAGCUGUCUCCCACCUACUGUCCUGGUAAAGAGUGUGUAGCAGUUGGAUAUUCUGAGGAACUGUAUGCAGCAUGGACUUUCUUCUUGGAUCUUGAUUUUCAAGCAUGGUUGCAUUUUAAACUUUUUUUCUCGAUUAAAACCUUUUAACCUUUUUUUCACUUUGGGUGGUAGUUUUCCUGAGAUGAGUCAAAAUACUGGCAAGAGGAGUGUUUAGAUAGCAUUCAGAAUUUUUGGAUGCAUGUUUUCCAGCUGUUUUGUUAUUUCUGAACUGUCAGCGACAUUUUAUUCCACUUUUAACACUUUAAAUGCGAGUUCAGUUUUACUGUAACAGGAAACACCCCACAAAAACUGGGUUUUAUAACAGUAAAAUUAGUUAUUAAUGCAGAGAUUUGCAAUGUGUUGCUUGUUUAAAUGCCAAAUAACUUGUGUGUAUAGAUGUCUGUGUGUAUGUAUGUAUUCAGGACAUUAAUGCAUGAAUGGUUCUGUAAAAAGUGGCCUGGAUUUCAGUCUGAUUUUCAGUUGCUAUCCUCUGCUGAGAAUCUUGUAGCUAUUCUUGACUUAGGCUUCUAAAUGACAGGAGAAUUAUGCUACCUUUGUGUUAGAUACACAGAUAACUUCUAUACAGAGCUUAUCGUGUGCCGUAAUGAUGUCAAAAUUACCAGUGAAGAAGUAAUCAUCUCUCGGUAUCACUCAGCUCAAUUUCUAUUGAAGUGUUUGGAAGACCAACUUGUUUCAUUAAAUACCAGCGAUUUGAAAAGCUGAAGCUGUCUCCAGUCGUCAAUGCUAUCACCAACUUAGCACCUUCUCAUUACCCUGAAAUACUCCAGAAAUCUGGUCAUUGUCUUUGUUCCUCCAAUUACAUCCUUGUAUGUGCAGCAGAUAAUAGACCUCGUGACUGUGUAAUAUGCCUCUUCACAUUAAACACCAAACCACAAAA
This is a long non-coding RNA of Passer domesticus (house sparrow), 3807 nucleotides long. RefSeq lists it as uncharacterized. The transcript has 4 exons. NCBI's taxonomy places the organism in Eukaryota, Metazoa, Chordata, Aves, Passeriformes, Passeridae. The record is from RefSeq and is a predicted model, not a curated record.